AUGAGCAGGCUCAGGAUGAAGGGCGGCGGCUUGUAUCCGAGCUUCAUCGGAGUUGAUGUGGAGUACACCAGCGAAGAUGAACCUCCACAGAUGGCAGCAGUCCUGCAGUUGUGCGUCGAGGAACUCUGCUUGGUGUACCACAUCGCAGCGGCCACAAAAUGGCCCAUGUGCCUCACAGACUUCCUGCAAGAGGAGAAAUUGUACACAUUUGUCGGUUUCAGCAUUGGAGGUGACAAGCAGAAGCUGAACAUGUAUGGUUUGGAGAUCAACCCAAACAACUUCAUCGACAUGCAGCGGAAGUGGAAAGAUCCAAACACCAACAAAUACUACGACUCCUUGGCCGAUGUUGUAGGCAACGUCAUCCACCCAUUCUACAACAACAUGAAGAAGAAGAUGGACAAGGCAGACCACAAACUGUGGGGGACCAGCCCGCUGUCAGACAACCUCAUCACGUACGCAGGAAUAGAUGCGUACGCCACGUACAAGCCAUGGAAGACAAUCGACAACAUCGUGACAGGUUGGGAUAUUUCAAAAGAGCAGGAGGCUGACCCCUACUACCACUGCAACUUCGCGGGAUGA
This 579-nucleotide ribosomal RNA is filed under the name Triticum aestivum (bread wheat). RNAcentral's name for it is "partial small subunit ribosomal RNA". The record is from RNAcentral. Lineage: Eukaryota; Viridiplantae; Streptophyta; Magnoliopsida; Poales; Poaceae.